This 429-nucleotide ribosomal RNA is filed under the name uncultured bacterium. Its description in RNAcentral is "bacterial SSU rRNA". It matches the Rfam family "Bacterial small subunit ribosomal RNA", at positions 355 to 776 of the family's 1533-position model. The record is from RNAcentral.
UGGGGAAUUUUGGACAAUGGGGGCAACCCUGAUCCAGCCAUGCCGCGUGCGGGAAGAAGGCCUUCGGGUUGUAAACCGCUUUUGUUCGGGAAGAAAUCGUCCUCGCUAACACCGGGGGCGGAUGACGGUACCGGAAGAAUAAGCACCGGCUAACUACGUGCCAGCAGCCGCGGUAAUACGUAGGGUGCAAGCGUUAAUCGGAAUUACUGGGCGUAAAGCGUGCGCAGGCGGUUUCGCAAGUCAGAUGUGAAAGCCCCGGGCUUAACCUGGGAACUGCAUUUGAAACUACGAGGCUAGAGUGUGUCAGAGGGGGGUAGAAUUCCACGUGUAGCAGUGAAAUGCGUAGAGAUGUGGAGGAAUACCGAUGGCGAAGGCAGCCCCCUGGGAUAACACUGACGCUCAUGCACGAAAGCGUGGGGAGCAAACAGG